Molecule: ribosomal RNA, 460 nt
Filed under: uncultured bacterium
Lineage: Bacteria
Description: partial 16S ribosomal RNA
Rfam family: Bacterial small subunit ribosomal RNA
Source: RNAcentral
CCUACGGGUGGCAGCAGUGAGGAAUAUUGGUCAAUGGAGGCAACUCUGAACCAGCCAAGUAGCGUGCAGGAUGACGGUACUGCGUGUUGUAAACUUCUUUUGUGCGGGGAUAAAGUGGGUCACUAGUCCCCUAUUGCAGGUACCUCAAGAAUAAGCAUCGGCUAAUUCCGUGCCAGCAGCCGCGGUAAUACGGAGGGUGCGGGCGUUAUCCGGAUUUAUUGGGUUUAAAGGGUGCGCAGGCCGCCCGUUAAGCAUGGGGUAAAAGGCCGCGGCUCAACCCUGGCACUGCCGGGCGAACUGGCGGGCUUGAGUGGGACAGAAGUAGGCGGAAUGCGCGGUGUAGCGGUGAAAUGCUUAGAUAUCGCGCAGAACCCCGAUUGCGAAGGCAGCGUACCGUCGCCACACUGACGCUGAGGCACGAAGGCGCGGGUAUCGAACAGGAUUAGAUACCCCAGUAGUC